UCUCAGUUAGUAUAGUGGUUAGUAUCUCCGCCUGUCACCGAGCAGACCGCGGAAGACCCGGGUUCGAUUCCCGGACUGAGAG
Molecule: transfer RNA, 82 nt
Filed under: Blyttiomyces helicus
Lineage: Eukaryota; Fungi; Chytridiomycota; Chytridiomycetes
Rfam family: tRNA
About the family: Transfer RNA (tRNA) molecules are approximately 80 nucleotides in length. Their secondary structure includes four short double-helical elements and three loops (D, anti-codon, and T loops).
Source: Rfam by way of RNAcentral